GACGAACGCUGGCGGCGUGCCUAAUACAUGCAAGUCGAACGCAUUUUCUUUCACCGUAGCUUGCUACACCGAAAGAAAAUGAGUGGCGAACGGGUGAGUAACACGUGGGUAACCUGCCCAUCAGCGGGGGAUAACACUUGGAAACAGGUGCUAAUACCGCAUAAGCCCACAGCUCGGCAUCGAGCAGAGGGAAAAGGAGUGAUCCGCUUUGAGAUGGCCUCGCGUCCGAUUAGCUGGUUGGUGAGGUAACGGCCCACCAAGGCGACGAUCGGUAGCCGGACUGAGAGGUUGAACGGCCACAUUGGGACUGAGACACGGCCCAG
Molecule: ribosomal RNA, 323 nt
Filed under: uncultured bacterium
Lineage: Bacteria
Description: bacterial SSU rRNA
Rfam family: Bacterial small subunit ribosomal RNA
Source: RNAcentral